GAGGGGGUAAGGGUUGACAGUUUGUGUUCAAUCCAUGAGGUUCCAUAUUGGUUGCUGUGCAGUGGUAGAAAAAAACGGUGCCUCUGGUUUACUGAUUUGUGAGUUACCUUUUGUUUAUUUGUUCGUUUUGCUUCCUGUUCAACGCAUUGACAAUUGGUUCACUGGUGAGGAGGUACAUACAUGUUUUAAUUGUAUGUAUAUGUCAUUAUUAUUAUUAUUAUUUUGAAUGUUGAAUAACUUGGUUUCAAGUAUUAAUGAAAUAAUAAGUAUAUGAUGCAAAUUUUGCCUUGUGAUCACAUUGAAAAAUAACAUGUGUUAUCAAUGAAGUUUUUGGAAAU
RNAcentral lists this long non-coding RNA (338 nucleotides) under Physcomitrium patens. Its description in RNAcentral is "long non-coding RNA (PPAT_LNC009184)". The record is from RNAcentral. Lineage: Eukaryota; Viridiplantae; Streptophyta; Bryopsida; Funariales; Funariaceae.